This 245-nucleotide ribosomal RNA is filed under the name uncultured Constrictibacter sp. RNAcentral describes it as "partial 16S ribosomal RNA". It matches the Rfam family "Bacterial small subunit ribosomal RNA", at positions 524 to 768 of the family's 1533-position model. Lineage: Bacteria; Pseudomonadati; Pseudomonadota; Alphaproteobacteria; Rhodospirillales; Allostellaceae. The record is from RNAcentral.
UACGGAGGGGGCUAGCGUUGUUCGGAAUUACUGGGCGUAAAGGGUGCGUAGGCGGCUGUCCAAGUCGGGUGUGAAAGCCCCGGGCUCAACCCGGGAUGUGCAUCCGAGACUGGGCGGCUAGAGUUCGGGAGAGGUGAGUGGAAUUCCCAGUGUAGAGGUGAAAUUCGUAGAUAUUGGGAAGAACACCGGUGGCGAAGGCGGCUCACUGGACCGACACUGACGCUGAGGCACGAAAGCGUGGGGAG